RNAcentral lists this ribosomal RNA (433 nucleotides) under Protagonista lugubris. Its description in RNAcentral is "partial 16S ribosomal RNA". The record is from RNAcentral. Lineage: Eukaryota; Metazoa; Arthropoda; Insecta; Blattodea; Blattidae.
CUUUUCUUGUUUUUGGAUAUGAAAUAUGGCCUGCCCACUGAAUAGUUUUUGAAGGGCCGCGGUAUUUUGACUGUGCAAAGGUAGCAUAAUCAUUAGUCCUUUAAUUGUGGACUGGAAUGAAUGGUUGGACGAGGAAUAUACUGUUUCUUAUUAUUUAUUUGAAUUUAAUGUUUAAGUUAAAAGGCUUAAAUAUUUUUAUGGGACGAGAAGACCCUAUAGAAUUUAUAUAUAUUUAUUUAUUUAUUUUGUUUGAAUAUUUGUUUAAUAUUUAAUAUAUUUUAUUGGGGUGAUAGGAAGAAUUAAAUAACUCUUUUUUUAUUUAUACAUUUAUUUAUGUUUAUUUGAUCCUUAUUUUUUGAUUAUAAGAUUAAAUUACCUUAGGGAUAACAGCGUAAUCUUUUUGAAGAGUUCUUAUCUAUAAAUGGGUUUGCGA